RNAcentral lists this long non-coding RNA (1087 nucleotides) under Mytilus galloprovincialis (Mediterranean mussel). Lineage: Eukaryota; Metazoa; Mollusca; Bivalvia; Mytilida; Mytilidae. The record is from RNAcentral.
GUUGAGUUGGUGUUGUGUUCAUAGUGUUCUUGUUUGGUUGGUAUUGUGUUUACAGUGUUGUUGUUGGGCUAGUGUUGUGUUCACAUUGUUGGUGUUGGGUAGGUGUUGUGUUCAUAGUGUUCUUGUUGGGUUGGUGCUAUGUUCAGUGUUCUUGUUUGGUUGGUGUUGUGGAUCAAAGUGUUGUUGUUGGGUUGAUGUUGUGUUCAUAGUGUUCUUGUUUGGUUGGUGUUGUGUUCAAAGUGUUGUUGUUGGAUUGGUGCUGUGUUCAUAGUGUUCUUGUUUGGUUGGCAUUGUGUUUACAGUGUUGUUGUUGGGCUAGUGUUGUGUUCACAUUGUUGGUGUUGGGUAGGUGUUGUGUUCAAAGUGUUCUUGUUGGGUUGGUGUUGUGUUCAGUGUUCUUGUUUGGUUGGUGUUGUGUUCGAAGUGUUCUUGUUUGGUUGGUAUUGUGUUUACAGUGUUGUUGUUGGGCAAGUGUUGUGUUCACAUUGUUGGUGUUGGGUAGGUGUUGUGUUCAAAGUGUUCUUGUUUGGUUGGUGUUGUGUUCAGUGUUCUUGUUUGGUUGGUGUUGUGUUCAAAGUGUUGUUGUUGGAUUGAUGUUGUGUUCAUAUUGUUCUUGUUUGGUUGGUGUUGUGUUCACAGUGUUGUUGUUAGGUUGGUCUUGUGUUUACAGUGUUCUUGUUUUAGCUUGUGUUGUGUUCAAAGUGUUGUUGUUGGGUUGGUGUUGUGUUUACAGUGUUGUUUUUGUGUUGGGGUUGUGUUCACAGUGUUGUUGUUGGGUUGGUGUUAUGUUCAGUGUUGUUGUUGGUUGGUGUUGUGUUCACAGUGUUGUUGUUGAGUUGGUGUUGUGUUCAGUGUUGUUGUUGGAUUGGUGUUGUGUUCACAGUGUUGUUGUUGGAUUGGUGUUGUGUUCAGUGUUGUUGUUGGAUUGGUGUUGUGUUCACAGUGUUGUUAUUGGAUUGGUGUUGUGUUUACAGUGUUGUUGUUGGAUUGGUGUUGUGUUCACAGUGUUGUUGUUGGGUUGGUGUUGUGUUUACAGUGUUGUUGUUGGAUUGGUGUUGUGUUCAGUGUUGUUGUUGGGUUGGUGUUG